RNAcentral lists this ribosomal RNA (860 nucleotides) under Escherichia coli. Its description in RNAcentral is "partial 23S ribosomal RNA". It matches the Rfam family "Bacterial large subunit ribosomal RNA", at positions 757 to 1617 of the family's 2925-position model. The record is from RNAcentral. Lineage: Bacteria; Pseudomonadati; Pseudomonadota; Gammaproteobacteria; Enterobacterales; Enterobacteriaceae.
UAACACUAACUGGAGGACCGAACCGACUAAUGUUGAAAAAUUAGCGGAUGACUUGUGGCUGGGGGUGAAAGGCCAAUCAAACCGGGAGAUAGCUGGUUCUCCCCGAAAGCUAUUUAGGUAGCGCCUCGUGAAUUCAUCUCCGGGGGUAGAGCACUGUUUCGGCAAGGGGGUCAUCCCGACUUACCAACCCGAUGCAAACUGCGAAUACCGGAGAAUGUUAUCACGGGAGACACACGGCGGGUGCUAACGUCCGUCGUGAAGAGGGAAACAACCCAGACCGCCAGCUAAGGUCCCAAAGUCAUGGUUAAGUGGGAAACGAUGUGGGAAGGCCCAGACAGCCAGGAUGUUGGCUUAGAAGCAGCCAUCAUUUAAAGAAAGCGUAAUAGCUCACUGGUCGAGUCGGCCUGCGCGGAAGAUGUAACGGGGCUAAACCAUGCACCGAAGCUGCGGCAGCGACGCUUAUGCGUUGUUGGGUAGGGGAGCGUUCUGUAAGCCUGUGAAGGUGGCCUGUGAGGGUUGCUGGAGGUAUCAGAAGUGCGAAUGCUGACAUAAGUAACGAUAAAGCGGGUGAAAAGCCCGCUCGCCGGAAGACCAAGGGUUCCUGUCCAACGUUAAUCGGGGCAGGGUGAGUCGACCCCUAAGGCGAGGCCGAAAGGCGUAGUCGAUGGGAAACAGGUUAAUAUUCCUGUACUUGGUGUUACUGCGAAGGGGGGACGGAGAAGGCUAUGUUGGCCGGGCGACGGUUGUCCCGGUUUAAGCGUGUAGGCUGGUUUUCCAGGCAAAUCCGGAAAAUCAAGGCUGAGGCGUGAUGACGAGGCACUACGGUGCUGAAGCGACAAAUGCCCUGCUUCCAGGAAAAG